This 465-nucleotide ribosomal RNA is filed under the name uncultured bacterium. RNAcentral describes it as "partial 16S ribosomal RNA". It matches the Rfam family "Bacterial small subunit ribosomal RNA", at positions 28 to 507 of the family's 1533-position model. The record is from RNAcentral.
GACGAACGCUGGCGGCGUGCUUAACACAUGCCAGUCGAACGGAAAGGCCCUUUUGGGGGUACUCGAGUGGCGGACGGGUGAGUAACACGUGAGUAACCUGCCCUUGACUUCGGGAUAACUUCAGGAAACUGGGGCUAAUACCGGAUAGGAAUCAUUGCUGCAUGGUGGGGGUUGGAAAGCUUCGGCGGUCUUGGAUGGACUCGCGGCCUAUCAGCUUGUUGGUGGGGUAGUGGCUUACCAAGGCUUUGACGGGUAGCCGGCCUGAGAGGGCGACCGGCCACAUUGGGACCGAGAUACGGCCCAGACUCCUACGGGAGGCAGCAGUGGGGAAUAUUGCACAAUGGGCGGAAGCCUGAUGCAGCAACGCCGCGUGCGGGAUGACGGCCUUCGGGUUGUAAACCGCUUUCAGCAGGGGCGAAGCUUGUGGUGACGGUACCUGCAGAAGAAGCACCGGCUAACUACGUG